UACAGAGGGGGCAAGCGUUGUUCGGAAUUAUUGGGCGUAAAGGGCGCGUAGGCGGCUUUGCAAGUGACGGGUGAAAUCCCUCGGCUUAACCGGGGAACUGCCUGUCAAACUGCAUGGCUUGAGACCGGGAGAGGUGAGUGGAAUUCCCAGUGUAGCGGUGAAAUGCGUAGAUAUUGGGAGGAACACCAGUGGCGAAGGCGGCUCACUGGACCGGUACUGACGCUGAGGCGCGAAAGCGUGGGUAGCAAACAGG
RNAcentral lists this ribosomal RNA (253 nucleotides) under uncultured bacterium. Its description in RNAcentral is "partial 16S ribosomal RNA". It matches the Rfam family "Bacterial small subunit ribosomal RNA", at positions 524 to 776 of the family's 1533-position model. The record is from RNAcentral.